This 393-nucleotide ribosomal RNA is filed under the name uncultured bacterium. Its description in RNAcentral is "partial 16S ribosomal RNA". It matches the Rfam family "Bacterial small subunit ribosomal RNA", at positions 523 to 918 of the family's 1533-position model. The record is from RNAcentral.
AUACGGAGGACGCGAGCGUUAUCCGGAUUCAUUGGGUUUAAAGGGUGCGCAGGCGGCCGUGCAAGUCAGCGGUGAAAGCCCGGGGCUCAACCCCGGAAGUGCCGUUGAUACUGCAUGGCUGGAAUGCGGUCGAGGCGGGCGGGACGGGGCGUGGAGCGGGGGAAUGCGUAGAAAUGCCACAGAACGCCGAUAGCGGAGGCGACUCGCCAGGCCUGCAUUGACGCUCGGGCACGAAAGCGUGGGGAUCGAACAGGAUUAGAUACCCUGGCAGUCCACGCCGUAAACGAUGGGCGCUCGUCGUCGGCGGCAGACAGUCGGCGGCCAAGCGAAAGCGAUAAGCGCCCCACCUGGGGAGUACGGUCGCAAGGCUGAAACUCAAAGGAAUUGGCGGGG